This 288-nucleotide long non-coding RNA is filed under the name Cyanistes caeruleus (blue tit). Its description in RNAcentral is "lncRNA (ENSCCEG00000004289.1)". The record is from RNAcentral. Lineage: Eukaryota; Metazoa; Chordata; Aves; Passeriformes; Paridae.
GACAGAGCUUGGCCAGCUCUGUCUGACUCCAGCAUCUGAGAGCUUAAGGACAAUGAAUCAUCUUUGCAUCUUGUUUAGUUUCUGUGUUGCAUUUCCUCCUUCAUCACAGUGACCAUGCUAAGAAGGGUUGCCUCCUUUCAUGCUACACACAUUCCCUCCUUUCUCUUUCUUCCUCUUAAUAUGUUCUUUUGUCCUCUAUUUUCUCAAGGUCCACAUCCGGCAGCAGAAGUGAAGAUGACGACUCUGAAGAAGGAGGCCUCCCACUGAGCCAAGCCAAGGGGACAGAUC